GGGGUAGGGGCCCACCAAGGCGACGAUCAGUAGCCGGCCUGAGAGGGUGGACGGCCACAUUGGGACUGAGACACGGCCCAAACUCCUACGGGAGGCAGCAG
RNAcentral lists this ribosomal RNA (101 nucleotides) under uncultured bacterium. Its description in RNAcentral is "partial 16S ribosomal RNA". It matches the Rfam family "Bacterial small subunit ribosomal RNA", at positions 254 to 354 of the family's 1533-position model. The record is from RNAcentral.